UUUCCGUAGGUGAACCUGCGGAAGGAUCAUUACUGAGUGAGGGCCCUCUGGGUCCAACCUCCCACCCGUGUUUAUUGUACCUUGUUGCUUCGGUGAGCCCGCCAGAGGACCCAAAACCCUGAAUAUUAGUGUCGUCUGAGUACUAUAUAAUAGUUAAAACUUUCAACAACGGAUCUCUUGGUUCUG
Molecule: unclassified non-coding RNA, 186 nt
Filed under: plant metagenome
Description: partial contains small subunit ribosomal RNA, internal transcribed spacer 1, and 5.8S ribosomal RNA
Source: RNAcentral